RNAcentral lists this ribosomal RNA (468 nucleotides) under uncultured bacterium. Its description in RNAcentral is "partial 16S ribosomal RNA". It matches the Rfam family "Bacterial small subunit ribosomal RNA", at positions 28 to 507 of the family's 1533-position model. The record is from RNAcentral.
GACGAACGCUGGCGGCGUGCUUAACACAUGCAAGUCGAACGGAAAGGCCCUGCUUUUGUGGGUUGCUCGAGUGGCGAACGGGUGAGUAACACGUGAGUAACCUGCCCUUGACUUUGGGAUAACUUCAGGAAACUGGGGCUAAUACCGGAUAUGAGCUCCUGCUGCAUGGUGGGGGUUGGAAAGUUUCGGCGGUUGGGGAUGGACUCGCGGCUUAUCAGCUUGUUGGUGGGGUAGUGGCUUACCAAGGGUUUGACGGGUAGCCGGCAUGAGAGGGUGACCGGCCACAUUGGGACUGAGAGACGGCGCAGAAUGCUACGGGAGGCAGCAGUGGGGAAUAUUGCACAAUGGGGGGAAGCCUGAUGCAGCAACGCCGCGUGCGGGAUGACGGCCUUCGGGUUGUAAACCGCUUUCGCCUGUGACGAAGCGUGAGUGACGGUAAUGGGUAAAGAAGCACCGGCUAACUACGUG